GGGCGGCUGCACUGUAACGGCUGCUCUGUAACCGAGAUUAUUUACCCCUGCCGUCCAUUGCUUUAUUAUUAGUAUAUGUCAACAAUGUGCACAGAAUGGUCGACACACUUUCACCUGCACCCAUCAGGAAACGGGAGAAAGGUUUGAAGUGGGACAUCAAGUUACGUCCACAACUACGAGGGUGGGGCUGAAGGGCUCGACCACUGUUGAGCUGCUGCAUCAUAGCUGCACAGUGUCAUAUCACCAACCCAUGAAAGCUAGAAGUCACCCUGCUGCUCCAGAUCUACCUACUGUGUGGCUGGCUACAGACUACAACCAUCUGC
Long non-coding RNA from Sander lucioperca (pikeperch), 323 nucleotides. RefSeq lists it as uncharacterized. Lineage: Eukaryota; Metazoa; Chordata; Actinopteri; Perciformes; Percidae. The record is from RefSeq and is a predicted model, not a curated record. The transcript has 4 exons.